UAUGAAAAACAUGUCUAAGUUUAGCUCCAACCCUAAUUAAGCAGACCUGAGCAGCUGAUCAAGGAUUACCAGAAACUCUGCAGAACGGUGGUCCUCCAGCCCAGGACUGGACACCAGUGUUAUGCUGGUAUAAAAACAGCGAGGCUAAAGCAUUCAAAGUGGAAACAUCUGCCGUGGCUCAUUAAUCCAGAAUUGGGAUGGAGAAUGGAGCAGAAGAACCAGAAGAUAAGAGAUCAGUCAGAAAUUUACUGGUGCCCCUG
This is a long non-coding RNA of Carassius carassius (crucian carp), 260 nucleotides long. RefSeq lists it as uncharacterized. The transcript is spliced from 3 exons. Lineage: Eukaryota; Metazoa; Chordata; Actinopteri; Cypriniformes; Cyprinidae. The record is from RefSeq and is a predicted model, not a curated record.